GUCUACAAUCCCAAAUGUGACUCAUCUUGAGUAGGUGAUCGAAAUAUUCUUUUCCUGAUAUAUGUGAUUUAUAAUUGAAAUUUAGAUGUCUGUGUCACUUGCCAUGAAUAUGCCACCUGCCAUGAAAGAGGAGGGAAGAAGAUGUGUAUUUGCAACUACGGAUUUGUGGGCAAUGGGAGGACUCAUUGUAUUGAUAAAAACGAGUGCCAGAUGGGAGCCACUGUGGUCUGCGGGAACCACACGUCUUGCCACAACACUCUGGGAGGCUUUUAUUGCAGUUGCCUGGAAGGAUAUCGAGCCACAAACAACAACAAGACAUUCAUCCCCAACGAUGGUACCUUCUGCACAGAUAUAGAUGAGUGUGAGGUUUCCGACCUGUGCAGGCAUGGAGGACGGUGCGUGAACACUCAUGGGAGCUUUGAGUGCUACUGUAUGGAAGGAUACUUGCCAAGGAGCGGGCCUGAGCCUUUCCACCCGACCAGAGAUGCCACGUCAUGCACAGAAAUAGACUGUGGCACCCCUCCUGAGGUCCCAGAUGGCUAUAUCAUAGGAAAUUAUACCUCUAGGCUUGGUGACCAGGCUCAUUAUGCUUGCAAAGAAGGAUUUUUCAGUGGCUCAGAAGAUACAGUUUCAAGAUGCACAGCCUUGGGCACAUGGGAGUCCCCAAAAUUAAACUGCCAAGAGAUCAACUGUGGCCGCCCUCCGGAAGUGCAGCACGCGGUCCUGGUGGGGAACCACAGCUCCAGCCUGGGCGGUGUGGCUCACUAUGUCUGUCUGGAGGGCUUUGAGAGCCCUGGAGGAAAGAUCACUUCCGUCUGCACAGAGAAAGGCACCUGGAAAGCAAGUACUUUGUCAUGCACAGAAAUAACUAUAGAAAUUAAUGACGUAUCUGUGUUUAACAACACCUGUGUGAGGUGGCGAAUAAACCCAGGAAGAAUAAACUCCAAGACUGCAUACCUGGUGCACAUAAAAGGACACCGGUUGGACUCAAUGGAAUCAGUUCAUGAGGAGACGGUCAAUUUGACCACAGAGAGCAGGACCCCAGAAGUGUGCCUAGAUCUGCACCAGGGCACCAACUACACCGUCAGCAUUUCUGCCGCCCCUCCCAGACGCUCUGUGCCAGCCAUCAUUGGGUUCCAGACAGCUGAGGAUGAUCUCUUAGAAGAUGAUGGGAUUUUCAAUAUUUCAAUAUUUAAUGAAGCUUGUUUAAAAUUGAACAGGCAUUCUAGGAAAGUUGGAUCAGAACGCAUGUACCAAUUUCAAGUUCUGGGUCAAAAGUGGUAUCUGAGUCAUUUUUAUCACGCAACAUCAUUGAACUUCACAACGAGGGAACAAGCUGCCGUGGUGUGUUUAGAUCUCUAUCCAGCAACUAAUUACACCGUGAACGUCACCCUCCUGGGAUCUCCCGAGCAGCACUCGGUGCAAACGACAGUAACCACACCAGCCGUAAAACAGACCAUCAGUAACAUUUCAAUAUUUAAUGAAACCUGCUUGAGAUGGAGAAGUUUGAAGACAGCUGAUGUAGAGGAGAUGUACUUAUUCCACAUUUGGGGCCAGAGAUGGUAUCAGAAGGAAUUUGCCCAGGAAAUGAUCUUUAAUAUCACUGCCAGCAGCCAGGCUCCUGAGACCUGUUUGGACCUGCAUCCUGGUACCAACUACAGUGUCACUGUCCAGGCUUUGUCUUCUCAGAGUCCUGUGGUCAUCUCCCUGACAACCCAGAUAACAGAGCCUCCUCUUCCGGAAGUAGACUUCUUCGCCGUGUGGGGUAGGGCUCUGCCACGCCUGAGGCUGCGGAGAGCCGAGGAGAAAAAUGGACCUGUCAGUUCAUAUCAGGUGUUGGUGCUCCCCCUGGCCCUCCACAGCACAUUUGCGUGCGAUUCUGAAGACGCUACCUCAUUCUUUAGCAAUACUUCUGAUGUUAAUGGAUACGUGGCUGCAGAACUACUGGCCAAAGAUGUUCCCGAUGAUGCCACGGAGAUAUCUAUCGGAGACAGGCUGUACUAUGGGAAAUAUUAUAACGCACCCUUGAAAACAGGGAAUGAUUACUGCAUUGUAUUACGAAUCACAAGUGAAUGGGAUAAGGUGAAAAGAAGCUCCUGUGCACUCUGGGCCCGGGUAAAAGGGGCCGUUGUGUGUGCAGCACGGAAGACGGGCCCAGCCUCCUUUCUCAUCUCGCACCAUAGGGUUCAGAUUCAGCGUCCCCCUUCACCCCAGCCUGCACUACCGCCCGGCGUUUUUCUAAAGUGCAGCGCUGAUUUUAUGACUUCCCCUGACGGCGCCUGCAUAGUUCUCCAACAGUUCUCAGUCUGGUUUCCAAGACCUCAGGUGGCCACCAAUGUCCUCUUCUCCAUUCAAACUGACGUGCCAGCUCUGUUCUGGAUACGGCCCUUGCUUUCCCUCCUUAAUGUCUUUGCUCAUACGAUUACUUGCUCACUUCCCCCCGGAUUGCCCUGUAACCUUCCUGUAAUUUCUGUUUAUUACAGUCCCUCCCGUUCUUCAAGAUUAAAAUCAAAUGCCGUCUCCUCUUUGACACUUUUUACAACUUCCUCAACCGGACAGAAUCUCUCCCCCUCUCUCUUUAGCCAUCCUGCUGUAAUUGCAAGCAGCUGGUGCACUUGUCUCUUCUUACUUGAUUUCGUCCCCUUGAGGGAGGGCAUUUGAAGAGCUGCAUGGUGCCUGGCACACAUGAGACGCCUAAUGAGGAUUUAUUGAAUCGGGCUGAAUGAUUCCCGGGGAACCAGCAGGACAGUCUGAUUGUAAAAGGAAGCAUAGUAGGAGCAAUACUUAUCAAAUUAAAAAGCCAGAGAAGACUGACAUCAAGAUAUAAGCCUGGUGUGUAUGUAUACGUAUGAAUACGCUGCACCUGUGUUUGUGUACACACGUACACAUGCACCCAUUUUAAACCUUCGUCAUUGUAGUAGGUAGAAUUCUCAUACGACCUCACAAAUUCCUGGUCCCUGGGGUACACCCACCUUCUCUCCGUUACUCAUUCAAAAGCUCUUCUAAGUGUUGCUGUGAAAGGAUUUGAAGAUGUAAUUAAGGUCCCAAAUAGAGAGAUUAUCCAGAUAGACCUGACCUAAUGACUACAUGAACCCUUUAAAUCUGUGUCUAGAGGUCACAGACCGGGGAAACUGGAGACUGAAAGGGAGAGAUGGAUUUGGCAUAAGGGUUUCUCCUGCUGGCUUUGAAGAUGCAGGGGACCACACGGCAGGAAUGUGGGCAGCCCGUAGGAGCUGAGUGGCCAGUAAGAAUAUGGGACCCUCAGUCUUACAACGACAAGGAGCUGAAUUUAGCCCAUAACCUGCAUGAGCUUGGAAGCAGAUUCUUCCCCGGGGCCCCUAGAGGGAAAUGCAGCCCACCUGCCUUGACCGUAGCCUUGUAAGACCCUGAGCGGAGGACUCAGUCACAAUGUGCCUGAACUUCUGACCCAUGAAACUGUGAGCUAAUAAAUGGGUGGUAGCUGCCAAGUGUAUGGUAAUUUGUUCAGCUGCCACUGAAGAUGAAUUCAGUAAUGUUGCUGGUUCAUGAGCCUUUACUUACCUCCAAAUUAGCUAUCUACUUCAGUCUCCUUUGCCAUCUCCUGCUUGCAGGGGGUUCAAGUGAGGGGACCCCAGAAUAGCAGAGAUGAAUUUCACACACUAAAUAGAAGUCACAGUGCUAAUUAUUAUCAUACAUUUGUGCCUUUCCAACAACCGAAUUGUUGCUUUCAGGAAAUGACCCUGCUGGUGUAAAUCCAUGAAAAACUGUCCACAGCCCUAUAGGAAGUCCUCAAGCUGUCACGAAGUCUGAGAGUAGGAACAGGGCCUUUCUAACCGGCUCUUCAACACCUGUGAUGUUUACGGUAGUCUAAGGGUUAGAGAUAAGCCCGUGGAAGCCCUGUCACUCCUCCUGAGCCACCCUGCGGAGAUUGGUGGAGUUUGAGCCUAAUGGAUUUCCUCGCUUUCGAAUGAGUCAUUGAGAAUCUGGGGUGUAACUCGUGAUUCACUCAUUUGGGUUUUUAAAAGAACAUUCUGCAAGUGAUUUAGAAGGAAAAUAAGUUUGGUUUCAUGGCAGGAGACCUUGGAAGGGAGGGUAACCAGAGGAUGACAAAGCUCUAAAAAAUGUAAUUCACGUUGGCCAGUUGUAAGUUUCCUUGGUAAAGAAUUAACAUGGGAAGUCCCUAAAGAAGCCUGGGGCUACACCGUGAGCGCUCAGGAUUAGGUUGACUCAGAUGUUCAAGAGAGUUCAUAUACAAAGCAGAAAAAAGACGUAUAACCAGGAACUGUUCAACCAGCAAGAAUCAUGCCUGGAGCUACAGCCCGAGUCAUGUUAUGCAGAGUGAAUAAGGGUGAUUUCCCAGUACUUACCUUUAGAGUAGAACAUAGGUGGGCUCCCUGCUAAGGGUGAAGGUCGUCCUGCUGCUGGAUGGUCAGGAGAACGUCAGGUUCCUCAGCUCCUACUUUGCUGCUUUCCUGUGGUUUGUGAGGAGGGGGUAUUUGAAAGCAAAAGAACAGCUAACCUGCUCUCUGUAAGUUAAAGUCUUCUGACUUGGAUGAAGCACCUUCUAGCAGGUUGUUACAACUUGCAAAGGAGAUGGAGAAACCACUGCAAGUGAUCUUUGAGAAAUCUUAAUGAAGAAGGGAAAAAUAAGUAGACUGGGGGUGAACAAAGAACAUAGAACUCUGUAUAAGGGAGACAGAUUUUGCAAAGUAUGGCUGAGGAAGACUUGAAGUCAAAGCCAGGCAAGAUCUUCAAGAGACGGUUCUGUGUCUAUCUGGGAGAAGAAGCCACGGUUCCCAGCAGUCAGUCUGGGACCUAUGAGCAGAUUAGGUUCAUCGCUCGUGCUGCCGCAGAUGGUGGGUGUUGCGCUGUGCUCCAUGGCUGCUGUGAUUGUCCUCGCAUUCCUCUCCUUCUCAGCGGCCUGACUGCAGGUGGGUGCUACGUGAAAGGGACGCGCUGCUGCUGGCGCAGAUGUUAUGACAGCUUCUCAGGUGCUUUCACCGAGGCCUCUGAGUGUGGGCCUGCAACUUUCUCCAUUCCCAGGUUGGCCCCCUUCCUGUACUCAAGACACUGACUGCCUCUUUGGAAUCCCCCCAAAGGAGGACCCGUGGGAAUAGCUGAUGUCUUCCCUGCUCACAACCGGUUCUGUGUCUCUGAACUUGAGAUCCUUGAUAAACAAAGUAGCAUUGACCACAGGCUGCAGGUCCCGUGGGUGGGCCCAUGUUCCCCUCUGAGUGAUGCCUGAGAGUCAGCCCCCCAAGACACGGAAUGCAAGAGAGUCUCUCCGUCUUCCUUUAUAGCGUCUCUCUUACUAAUUCAGAAUCCAUUCUUUCACAGUAAGUAAUGAGAUAAGACUUAAGUGUAGGCUAGAAUGUAACUUUGUGAAGGAGGUCAUUGGAAAGGAUAGAGAUCAGUGACAUAGGCCAAGGUGUCAGACCCUUUAGAAGCCUCUUUCCUACAAGUACGUUAAUUGGAAAGCAUGCUAGCCGGGCCCCUCCGGCAAGUUCCCCGCAGCGUCUGUUAGGCAGCAUUGCUUUGACCCAGUCCUGUUUGUCUUAAAUGUAUUCAAAAGCCGUAAGUCUUCAUUCCAGUAAAAACAUUCUGUUCAUCUUAGACAGCUCUUCUCUUCCACAUGAAUGUUUAUAGCAGCUUUGGUUAAUUUUUUUUUAACUGAGUGUUUUCUAAAAAUGCUCUCUAUCCCUCCUUUUAGGUUCGGUGGUCAUGCGGUAACAAUGGGUUGAAACAAUAUCAAGCCCAUGGCCAGAGUCCAUGUGUUUACAGGGGAGGGGAGCUAUGUGGGUGACAUUAUCAUCCCUUUUUAUCUACAACGUCAGUAACUGUGAAUGCCACUUUAUCAUGAAUGAUGACACUUUGGGUGUAAGCAGUCCCGAGCGCACUGGCAAUGUGCGGAAUUUACAGCUGGAGUGUAUUAGAUUUGACUUUUAAGCCCGAAUCAGUGUCCUUGAACUGUCCUCCCUAACCGACAGUGUAACUCCAAGGCUCAGCAAGGAACGGAGGGAGAAGGAUGGUGGCUCGUGGCUUCUCUGAGUGACAGUGGUGCCCUCCUCCACCUUCUCCCUCCCUCUCCAAGCCUGGAGAGCAGAUAGCAUGGGAUGGAGAAGGGGCGACAGUUAGAUUGCACAACUCAGGGUGCAGCAUGUAAGGACGCGGUCCUGGAAUUGGGCAGCUUUGUGAUCCUGAGGAGAAGGGACCGUCUUUCUGACGUGGUGGACUGGCAUGGUGGGUGGGCUUGGGCUUCAGUGAGGCACAGAUCGGAGCCCGCGCUUGUGAGCAGCUGAGAAGACACGAGCAACAGUAGAAACAGGUGGAAGCUCUAUGAAGCUACUCCCCCUGCCGGGGAUCUGGCCCAAAGCUUAAGCUCUCAGCAAGGAGGAGUCAGAUUAUUCAAGGCUAACUGUCAGCCCUGCCCUUCCACCAGUGUUAGGCAGUAUUAGGAGUCAUUGUCCCUUGUCCUCUGAGGUACCACCCAGACACAACUUAGCAUCAAUGUGUGGAGUGUAGAACCCUUCCUGCUCUCAUCUCAGGUGAAUUACAGAGUAAAGCUCUCAAUAGGCUAGUACAGAUAGCUUCCUACUUUUAAUUUUUAUGCACAACAGUUGAACUCAUACUGUUUUCACAGCUGUUGAAUUAAAUUUGAAAUCAUUACAAAUGAUUGUAGUUAAUAUUGGGUAGGGUCUGUGAUGAGGAAGGAUUUUCCUAACAAAGCCUCCUUCAUCCAAAGAGAGAAACUAAACCUCUCUUCUUCAUUAUUUUUUAACCGGCUCCGUAACACCACGCUUCUGUAGUCCCGCUAAUUUCUAGUUCUAGAAUUAACUGCCAGAGAAGCUGCAGUUGUCCACAUGGAAACUUGGCAUGAUUGUCCUUGAAAGGAAGAAAUCCCACUUGCUUGGUAUCAACAAGUCUCUGGUUAAAAUAAGUGACUAAAUAUUAAGUAAAAUGUACUUCUGGGGACAGAGCAGAAAUGUACAAGCAGUUCAUGAAAGAAAUGAGAACCGCCAAAACAUAGACUUUGUCCCUCCCUCUGAAUGUUCCAAAUUGUUAACACAGAGUUGCUCGGUGUUAAUACUUAACCGAAGCAGGUGCUGAGCAUUUGCAAGAAGGAGGCAGCAUUUUCCUGCAGUUCUUCUCUGACCGUUUUCUCAUACACAUGAAGGCAGCUUUAAGGUCUCUGGAUUUGCCAGGGAGCUUUUUACGACAAAAAGCUCUUUUGUCUCCCAAGUGGAUUCCUGGUAAAGGCAGAGAGAGCAUCUGAGGAGACUGAUAGUGAAUCUUCCUAGGAUCAUGCAGGGUCCUUCUGUCCAAGGAUUGAUCGAGCAGCACUUGGAGUUGGGUUGUGAGUGCCCCUGAGUGAAGCUAGAUCCCCAGGUGGGGAUGGGGGAAGGAGCUUUCCCUUAACCGUCUUGGGGAGGCGAGCACUACGAUCCAGUCUACGACUAGGGCUCAAAAUCAGGGGGUUGCCCAGAUAUGGGGCAGAUUGCUUGGCCCCUCUAGUUUUGUUUUUUUUAAACAUUUUUUAUUGAUUUAUAAUCAUUUUACAAUGUUGUGUCAAAUUCCAGUGUUCAGCACAAUUUUUCAGUCAUUCAUGG
Molecule: non-coding RNA, 7586 nt
Organism: Vicugna pacos (alpaca)
Lineage: Eukaryota; Metazoa; Chordata; Mammalia; Artiodactyla; Camelidae
Source: RefSeq, a predicted model, not a curated record